CCCAGACCAGAGGCCUCUGGACAGCUGCCGCCACCAUGCUGGCCAACAGAUGAUGGGUUCGUAGGCUCGAUUACAGAGUCAUAAUGGUGAAGAGGAUGGUGACAUCCAAGGACAACCACAGGGCCUCUGUCUCAACCCUGGUGAGAACCAGAUUCCUCCCCGCUGGUUCUAUAGCUCCCAGCAGAGUUCUGGAAGCUGAUUAAAGAGAAGAUCAGAAAUAACAGAUCACUGGCGCUGGGGGACACCCCAGCUGCCAUGUUGUCGGAGAAGCUCAGGUGAAGAGAAACCACUGCUUCUUGCUAAAAACUACCCGAGUGAUCUUGGAAGUGGCUUCUCCAGCCCCAGCCCAGCCUUCCGUGGACUGCAGCUCCAGCUGACAUCUAGACUGUAAGAUCUGCUCUCUACCCAAUCUGCUUCUAAAUUCUUGACCCAUAGAAACUGUAAGGAAAAGGGAAAUAACUCUUUGA
Neomonachus schauinslandi (Hawaiian monk seal) is the source of this 467-nucleotide long non-coding RNA. RefSeq lists it as uncharacterized. NCBI's taxonomy places the organism in Eukaryota, Metazoa, Chordata, Mammalia, Carnivora, Phocidae. The record is from RefSeq and is a predicted model, not a curated record. The transcript is spliced from 4 exons.